This is a non-coding RNA of Podarcis muralis (Common wall lizard), 1168 nucleotides long. The record is from RefSeq and is a predicted model, not a curated record. NCBI's taxonomy places the organism in Eukaryota, Metazoa, Chordata, Lepidosauria, Squamata, Lacertidae.
GGUUCCAUUUUCUCUCUCUUGGCUAAAAUAGGUGGAUAGCCUAUCUGUAAAUCCAGGCUCAGACUGUUCUCCUGAGAUGAUGGUGUCCCAGCCUGGGUGUGGUUAUGCAGUCUUACUGUGUACUUGGAAAACAGAGCAGCAGUCUCCAACAGAGAGGAUAGACAGUUCAGCAGCUAGCAGGGAAGCUCCAGUUCGGGAUGUCAUUCUCCAUCAGACAUCAGGUAGAAUUCACAACAAGAAUGUUUCUACUCACCUCAUUGGCAGCAUUGGCAGAGGGACUUCCAAGAAGCACGCUGGCUCAGGUCUGUUUGCACUCUGCACCUUGGAUGGGACACUCAAACUGAUGGAGGGAGCUGACAAGCUACUGUGGUCAGUGCAGGUUGACCACCAACUUUUUGCUCUAGAAAAACUGGACGUUACUGGAAAUGGCCAUGAGGAGGUGAUUGCCUGCGCUUGGGAUGGACAGACGUACAUCAUAGACCACGGCCGCACUGUGGCUAGGUUCCAAGUAGAUGAAAAUGUGAGUGCCUUCUGUGCAGGUCUCUAUGCCUGCAAAGGAGGCUGCAAUAGCCCUUGCCUGGUAUACGUCAGUUUCAACCAAAAGAUCUACAUCUACUGGGAUGUGCAAUUGGAGAGAAUGGAAUCUACCAGUUUGCUGAAGAUACUAGAGAGUAACUCCGAAUACAAAGAUCUCCUACUCCAGCUGGGUGUGGCUGGAGAUGAUGUUUCUGCAGUCAAAGAUUUGAUUCACAAGACACUCUACUUUCCAGAGGAGCAGCUAAAUAGCCCUUCUCAGUUCAUGCCCACAGCUAGAUCCUCUUCCAGGAGCUAUCCUAUUUCCCAAGAGACCUUAUGAGCAGAUGACAUAUACUCACACAGUGAACAGCUCUGCUUCUCAUUCUGCUACCCCUCAUUUGUGCAAAUUAAGCACUCUUAAGAACCAGGACUUUGAAUGAAGGAGUUGGAGUAGCAGCAUGAAUCUUCAAGUGAAGCUGCUGUCUGAAGUCAACCUAAUAGGAAAUGCCCUUUUCAAUUUGUCUCAAGGUCCUCAUUGCUGUUGUUACUUUCUCAUCAGUCACUUUAUCUGCUGAAAACUUUAAUAAAGGCAACACAAGUCAUUUCUGUAGAAUCACCUUCCCAGCCCUAUGGAAACUCCCCUCUUCCCCCG